RNAcentral lists this ribosomal RNA (388 nucleotides) under uncultured bacterium. Its description in RNAcentral is "bacterial SSU rRNA". It matches the Rfam family "Bacterial small subunit ribosomal RNA", at positions 28 to 417 of the family's 1533-position model. The record is from RNAcentral.
GACGAACGCUGGCGGCGUGCUUAACACAUGCAAGUCGAGCGGUAAGGCCCUUUCGGGGGUACACGAGCGGCGAACGGGUGAGUAACACGUGGGUGACCUGCCCUCAGCUCUGGGAUAAGCCUGGGAAACCGGGUCUAAUACCGGAUAUGACUCCAUGACGCAUGUUGUGGGGUGGAAAGCCUUGUGCGGCUGAGGAUGGGCCCGCGGCCUAUCAGCUUGUUGGUGGGGUGAUGGCCUACCAAGGCGACGACGGGUAGCCGGCCUGAGAGGGCGACCGGCCACACUGGGACUGAGACACGGCCCAGACUCCUGCGGGAGGCAGCAGUGGGGAAUCUUGCGCAAUGGGCGAAAGCCUGACGCAGCGACGCCGCGUGAGGGAUGACGGCCU